GUUGUUAAAACCGGGCGAGGACUGCAGCCUCGAGUCCACCUCCCGACUGAACAGGUGGUUAACUCGCCCGGGGAGAGGAACUGCCAGCUCCCGCUUUCUGUUUCACCCGAGGGACCACGAACGCCGCCGCCGCCAUGCUUACUACGGAGCCGGGAGGAGGAGCCCGAAGUCGGCGCGCCGAGUGCGGCUGCGCGGGCCCCGCCGACGGAGCCCGCGGCCGGGACCCCGAACCCCCGCCUCGAGCCCGCCGCGCCGGGGCUCUCUCACCGGAACGCGAGUCCCCGCGGGGCCACCGGCGCGUGGCGGCUGAGCGGCCGCGUUUGGCUCCCGGAGCGCCCACACCCUCUCGGGCUUCCGGCUUUCUCCCGAGGCCCGGCUGCGCCUGGCUUGUGGUAGCAUCCGCUGUGGCCAGGCUCGGAGCUACACUCAGGAAAAGUGGAGUUAAUGGAGGUUCCUAGAGACACUCACACAAUUCUCAAUCCACAUUUCAAAAGGCUCCCCUGAGACGCACCCUGUCGGCCCCUUUCCGAAAGCACGCGAACUUAAGGCUGGCAGGUGCUUUAAAAGACACUCCUCCCAAGGACUAGGAAGCCUCUGAAAUGGGCUUGGAAGUUUCUAAUCCCAAAGACUUCGAACCCAGGAUCUGGAUAGCAAGCAAAAAUAUUUAGAUAUUUACUCAGUUGAAAACGUGGGGGGUGGCUUCGUGGUCUCUUCGCCAGCCAAAUCGCGUGGAAAACCACGACCUCAAUUUUUACAACAGCACGAAGACUUACAAGUGAGCGUAGCAGCGACUUCCUGGAACCUCAAACAAUGUGGGACGCUGCAAUAAUGCCUGAGGGCUUUUGACUUACAGUUGCCGCCGGAGACCUGGGGAGGGGGUAGUACUUGGGCCGGUGAGUCCAGCCUCAGGAACUGUCCUUUCAAAAAUGGUGAUGGAUGUAACAAGUUGCAUGUCUGGGCUUUAUUUCAGUGUAUUAAUUGUGCGAUCUUUUAAAAUAGCUGUAUUUUUAAAACUGUUUUACAGAAAUCUCUUUAAAAUGUGAUUAUUCUCUAUAUUCUUAAAGAAUACAAUGGCUAAUUAAAUCCUUUGUUGAUAACUGA
Molecule: long non-coding RNA, 1101 nt
Organism: Homo sapiens (human)
Lineage: Eukaryota; Metazoa; Chordata; Mammalia; Primates; Hominidae
Source: Ensembl